RNAcentral lists this transfer RNA (302 nucleotides) under uncultured Pseudomonadota bacterium. RNAcentral describes it as "uncultured proteobacterium partial 16S-23S ribosomal RNA intergenic spacer". The stretch from base 27 to 100 matches the Rfam family "tRNA". Lineage: Bacteria; Pseudomonadati; Pseudomonadota. The record is from RNAcentral.
UUGCCUUGAGGCAAUGGCCCCACAGCGGGUCUGUAGCUCAGCUGGUUAGAGCACCGUCUUGAUAAGGCGGGGGUCGUUGGUUCGAGCCCAACCAGACCCACCACGCCAGCAAGGGGGCCGUAGCUCAGCUGGGAGAGCGGCGGCUUUGCAAGCCGUAGGUCGUCGGUUCGAUCCCGAUCGGCUCCACCAAGCCCCCUGUACGAGCAUUCAGGCAUGCCUCCACUUCGGAGACAUGCCUGAAUGCUUGGUGAAGUAAGAAACAUCGAGCUGCUCUUUAACAAUUUGGAAGAAGUCAUGUCGCC